Molecule: ribosomal RNA, 854 nt
Filed under: Neofusicoccum mediterraneum
Lineage: Eukaryota; Fungi; Ascomycota; Dothideomycetes; Botryosphaeriales; Botryosphaeriaceae
Also listed under: 1 other name
Description: partial 28S ribosomal RNA
Rfam family: Eukaryotic large subunit ribosomal RNA
Source: RNAcentral
UGCCUUAGUAACGGCGAGUGAAGCGGCAAUAGCUCAAAUUUGAAAGCUGGCCCCUUUCGGGGUCCGCGUUGUAAUUUGUAGAGGAUGAUUCGGCGAGGGCUCCCGUCUAAGUCCCUUGGAACAGGGCGUCAUAGAGGGUGAGAAUCCCGUAUGUGAUGGGCUGCCUUAGCCAUGUGAAUCUCCUUCGACGAGUCGAGUUGUUUGGGAAUGCAGCUCUAAAUGGGAGGUAAAUUUCUUCUAAAGCUAAAUACCGGCCAGAGACCGAUAGCGCACAAGUAGAGUGAUCGAAAGAUGAAAAGCACUUUGGAAAGAGAGUUAAAAAGUACGUGAAAUUGUUGAAAGGGAAGCGCUUGCAGCCAGACUUGUCCGCAGUUGCUCAGCCUGUCUCCUGACAGGCGUACUCUUCUGCGGCCAGGCCAGCAUCAGUUCGGGCGGUCGGAUAAAGACCCGGGGAAUGUAGCUCCUCUCGGGGAGUGUUAUAGCCCUGGGUGCAAUGCGGCCAGCCUGGACUGAGGAUCUCGCUUCGGCUAGGAUGCUGGCGUAAUGGCUGUAAGCGGCCCGUCUUGAAACACGGACCAAGGAGUCUAACAUCUAUGCGAGUGUUUGGGUGUCAAACCCAUGCGCGUAAUGAAAGUGAACGGAGGUGGGAACCCUCACGGGUGCACCAUCGACCGAUCCUGAUGUCUUCGGAUGGAUUUGAGUAAGAGCAUAGCUGUUGGGACCCGAAAGAUGGUGAACUAUGCCUGAAUAGGGUGAAGCCAGAGGAAACUCUGGUGGAGGCUCGCAGCGGUUCUGACGUGCAAAUCGAUCGUCAAAUUUGGGUAUAGGGGCGAAAGACUAAUCGAACCAUCUAG